Neoarius graeffei (lesser salmon catfish) is the source of this 1158-nucleotide long non-coding RNA. RefSeq lists it as uncharacterized. Lineage: Eukaryota; Metazoa; Chordata; Actinopteri; Siluriformes; Ariidae. The transcript is spliced from 5 exons. The record is from RefSeq and is a predicted model, not a curated record.
GCUUGCCUGCGACCCUGUAGAAGGAUAAAGCGGCUAGAGAUAAUGAGAUGAGAUGAGGAUAUUUUCACCUGUUAGUAAGCUUCUUUUCUCACUUGCGUGAACCGGGCCAAGCGGACACUGUCAGCGGACAUCACCAUGCAUUGAACCCUCGCCCUGCAUUGGCCCACACACCGCGCUUCCAGCGGAGGAGAGACGAGGGCGACGGGAUGAUUGCUGUACCAUGGUUUACUGAAUCUGGUCCCAGGAAGAGAUGCUUUGGAAGUGCUUGUUAAGAAUUCAACAGAAUAGUGGGGAAAAAUCUGAGAGAACGAUUUUGAUGCACUUGAAUGUUUCUCUCCAAGCCUGAUGGACCUCUUCAGGAAGAAGAGGCCUCACCGGCCAGCUUUUGGCUGAGCUUAUACCUACAAAGACCACUGAGCCAACAGACAUCAGGUGCCUUAGUCUUCAGGGACUGCUGGUCAUCUUGGAGAUGAUCCUUCUGCCUUCUUCAAGACCUGCUCUGAUGAAACCAACAAGGACUUGUACAGUGAAACUCCCAGCUGGAAUCCUUUGCAUUGAUAAAGAAAAUCCUCAGCUCAACCCGUCCAGAGUUGGGAUUGUCUUGGAAGGUAGUGUGGUGAUGGAUGAACUGACCAACCUGACUCAGGCCUUCUGUCUCCUUUUUGGACUGAUUUAUGCCUUGCACCUGGAGCAAGUGUAUGAAAAACACUUUCAGCUUUGUUCAGCAGGUAAUGCUCGACCUCGGUACAAGUGGGCUGUGUUAUAUCUGUUCUAUUCUAGGUGAUGAACAGAUGAGGCGUGUUGAAUAAACUUGUGUUUUAUUUCACGUUGCCGCAGUGGCAUGUCCAGGCAUACAUACAAAAACCUUUCCUGCUUCUAUUCAUGUAGUGUGCAUGCCUAGCUCACAAGGCAUUAUGGGAACUGGAGUUCUAAUGUUAUUAACACAUAACAUCACAUCUUUCCCCCUAGAAAGAAAACAUUAUUCCCAUGCUGCGCAAUAAACUUUUAUCCAUAACUGUUAAACAUUGUCUAUUUUUCCCAGCUCUAUGUUUCUUUCUUAACAACCCAAUAAACAUUGGACCUCUAAACAACAUCACACAAUCUCUUCAGUGGAUCAGAACAAUAAUACAUGUACCUAUGCUAUAAGAUAUCACAUUU